RNAcentral lists this ribosomal RNA (590 nucleotides) under Bacillus sp. (in: firmicutes). RNAcentral's name for it is "bacterial SSU rRNA". It matches the Rfam family "Bacterial small subunit ribosomal RNA", at positions 181 to 755 of the family's 1533-position model. The record is from RNAcentral. Lineage: Bacteria; Bacillati; Bacillota; Bacilli; Caryophanales; Bacillaceae.
UUGAACCGCAUGGUUCAAUCAUAAAAGGUGGCUUUUAGCUACCACUUGCAGAUGGACCCGCGGCGCAUUAGCUAGUUGGUGAGGUAACGGCUCACCAAGGCGACGAUGCGUAGCCGACCUGAGAGGGUGAUCGGCCACACUGGGACUGAGACACGGCCCAGACUCCUACGGGAGGCAGCAGUAGGGAAUCUUCCGCAAUGGACGAAAGUCUGACGGAGCAACGCCGCGUGAGUGAUGAAGGUUUUCGGAUCGUAAAACUCUGUUGUUAGGGAAGAACAAGUACCGUUCGAAUAGGGCGGCACCUUGACGGUACCUAACCAGAAAGCCACGGCUAACUACGUGCCAGCAGCCGCGGUAAUACGUAGGUGGCAAGCGUUGUCCGGAAUUAUUGGGCGUAAAGCGCGCGCAGGCGGUUUCUUAAGUCUGAUGUGAAAGCCCCCGGCUCAACCGGGGAGGGUCAUUGGAAACUGGGGAACUUGAGUGCAGAAGAGGAGAGUGGAAUUCCACGUGUAGCGGUGAAAUGCGUAGAGAUGUGGAGGAACACCAGUGGCGAAGGCGACUCUCUGGUCUGUAACUGACGCUGAGGCGCG